Molecule: long non-coding RNA, 794 nt
Organism: Xiphophorus maculatus (southern platyfish)
Lineage: Eukaryota; Metazoa; Chordata; Actinopteri; Cyprinodontiformes; Poeciliidae
Exons: 2
Source: RefSeq, a predicted model, not a curated record
CCGUUCUUCAUCAGCUCCACGGCUUCGUUGACCUGGUCCAGCCUCAGGUUGUGGGUGAUGAACUCGUCCACCAUCAGCUUCCUGUCCAGGCUGCAUCGAUCAGACAGACUCUGUCCAGCGGCGCGGCCGCAGAAAUCUCCUUCACCACGGCGAACUCAGAGCUGAUGCCCCCAGCAGCUGAUCCUGGAUUCAUUCAGAACCAUCCAUGAAUUCAUUUCUGCAGCCUAAUGAACACAUGAUGAUGCAAUGAAGGGAUGAGCUCCGUACUCGCCGACACACAUGUUGGUUGCAGAAGCGGCAUUCCCGACACUGAGGCAUGAACAGCGGAUCCCCGUGGUGAAGAUUUAAUCUGUGCUCCACACUGUCAGGUUGAUCCUGAGGAACCAGGCGGUCCGGCUGGUUCUACUGACCCGGCUGGAACUCUGUGACCCCGCCCGCCCGUCCGUCCAUCUGCUCAUUUGUUGUCGAGUAUUUCUUAUUUUAAAGCCAGAUUCCCUUCUGCUGAGUAUCUCUGACGUUUCCUGAUGUUCCUCUGCUAAAACGCUGUUAUUGCUUCAUUGUUGACCUCAGCUGACGGAACAACGAGUUUCCUGUUGUGUUUCAGGUUCUCUGCUGCUUUAGCCAACGUCUGUCUGGUUGUUUCUUGUCAAUCAGUUGCAACAACUUGUUAACAUCAACACGCUACACAAAGACUUAUUAGCAGAAUUGGAGUCAUGUAGGUUAAUAAUGACCUUUUCUAACAGACACAACUCAUAAAGAGGCUGAAAUAUAAUAAACACUAUGAGCUACCUGGA